RNAcentral lists this ribosomal RNA (863 nucleotides) under uncultured Acinetobacter sp. RNAcentral's name for it is "bacterial SSU rRNA". It matches the Rfam family "Bacterial small subunit ribosomal RNA", at positions 34 to 852 of the family's 1533-position model. The record is from RNAcentral. Lineage: Bacteria; Pseudomonadati; Pseudomonadota; Gammaproteobacteria; Moraxellales; Moraxellaceae.
CGCGGCGGCGAGCUUACCCAUGCGAUUCUAAACGGGGAAGGUAGCUGCCACCUGAACCUUACGGCGGACGGGUGAGUAAUGCUUAGGAAUCUGCCUAUUAGUGGGGGACAACGUUUCGAAAGGAACGCUAAUACCGCAUACGUCCUACGGGAGAAAGCAGGGGAUCAUUUGACCUUGUGCUAAUAGAUGAGCCUAAGUCGGAUUAGCUAGUUGGUGGGGUAAAGGCCUACCAAGGGCGACGAUCUGUAGCGGGUCUGAGAGGAUGAUCCGCCACACUGGGACUGAGACACGGCCCAGAACUCCUACGGGAGGCAGCAGUGGGGAAUAUUGGACAAUGGGCGCAAGCCUGAUCCAGCCAUGCCGCGUGUGUGAAGAAGGCCUUAUGGUUGUAAAGCACUUUAAGCGAGGAGGAGGAGCUUCAGGUUAAUACCCUGGAUGCUUGGACGUUACUCGCAGAAUAAGCACCGGCUAACUCUGUGCCAGCAGCCGCGGUAAUACAGAGGGUGCAAGCGUUAAUCGGAUUUACUGGGCGUAAAGCGUGCGUAGGCGGCUAAUUAAGUCAAAUGUGAAAUCCCCGAGCUUAACUUGGGAAUUGCAUUCGAUACUGGUUAGCUAGAGUAUGGGAGAGGAUGGUAGAAUCCAGGUGUAGCGGUGAAAAUGCCGUUAAGAGAAUCUGGAGGGCAACUACCCGAUGGGCGAAAGGGCAAGCAUUCUGGGCCUUAUACUUGAACGCUUGAGGUAACGAAAAAGGACAUUGGGGAAGGCAAACCCAGGGAUUAGACUCCCCCUGGUUAGUCCCACUGCGUAAAACCGAAUGUCUCACUAACCCGUGGGGGUCUUUGGAGAACCUUAGUGGGCACAGU